Molecule: ribosomal RNA, 486 nt
Filed under: uncultured bacterium
Lineage: Bacteria
Description: partial 16S ribosomal RNA
Rfam family: Bacterial small subunit ribosomal RNA
Source: RNAcentral
AUUGAACGCUGGCGGCAUGCCUUACACAUGCAAGUCGAACGGCAGCACGGGUGCUUGCACCUGGUGGCGAGUGGCGAACGGGUGAGUAAUACAUCGGAACAUGUCCUGUAGUGGGGGAUAGCCCGGCGAAAGCCGGAUUAAUACUGCAUACGAACUACGGAUGAAAGCGGGGGACCUUCGGGCCUCGCGCUAUCGGGUUGGCCGAUGGCUGAUUAGCUCGUUGGUGGGGUAAAGGCAUACCAAGGCGACGAUCAGUAGCUGGUCUGAGAGGACGACCAGCCACACUGGGACUGAGACACGGCCCAGACUCCUACGGGAGGCAGCAGUGGGGAAUUUUGGACAAUGGGCGAAAGCCUGAUCCAGCAAUGCCGCGUGUGUGAAGAAGGCCUUCGGGUUGUAAAGCACUUUUGUCCGGAAAGAAAACCUUGGCCCUAAUACGGUCGGGGGAUGACGGUACCGGAAGAAUAAGCACCGGCUAACUACGUG